GACGAACGCUGGCGGCGUGCUUAACACAUGCAAGUCGAACGGUGAAGCGCCUUCCUUUUUGGUGGGUGUGGAUGAGUGGCGAACGGGUGAGUAACACGUGGGUAACCUGCCCCCUUCUUCUGGAUAACCGCAUGAAAGUGUGGCUAAUACGGGAUAUUCUGGGUCUGUCGCAUGAUGGGUCUGGGAAAGAUAUUGUUUCGGUGGGGGAUGGGCUCGCGGCCUAUCAGCUUGUUGGUGGGGUGAUGGCCUACCAAGGCGGUGACGGGUAGCCGGCCUGAGAGGGUGGACGGUCACACUGGGACUGAGACACGGCCCAGACUCCUACGGGAGGCAGCAGUGGGGAAUAUUGCACAAUGGGCGCAAGCCUGAUGCAGCGACGCCGCGUGAGGGAUGGAGGCCUUCGGGUUGUGAACCUCUUUCGCCAGUGAAGCAGGCCUGCCUCGUUUGUGGGUGGGUUGACGGUAGCUGGAUAAGAAGCGCCGGCUAACUACGU
This 493-nucleotide ribosomal RNA is filed under the name uncultured bacterium. RNAcentral's name for it is "partial 16S ribosomal RNA". It matches the Rfam family "Bacterial small subunit ribosomal RNA", at positions 28 to 506 of the family's 1533-position model. The record is from RNAcentral.